This 26-nucleotide non-coding RNA is filed under the name Mus musculus (house mouse). The record is from RNAcentral. Lineage: Eukaryota; Metazoa; Chordata; Mammalia; Rodentia; Muridae.
UGUGAGUUGAGUCCUAUUUAUACUCC